GCAGAUCAUUCCUAGGCAUGUUAUAAGCUUUAGUGUCUCUUCCCUUUCACAUUGCAUUAAUGUGCUUCAUAAGCCAAAAAUACCUCCCAAACGUAUUGAAACUUACUUUCAAACUGAAAUUCUUCAUUAAACUGGUAAUUAAUUGACAUUUGUUCUAUCCUCUCUCCACUUCCAGUAAGAUAUACUACUGUAGCCCUGUUUAUAAUGCCACCUUAUCUGAAGCAUAGACAUUUUUGUCUUUUUCAGUGUGCUGCGGGCAAGUAUCACAUUGUUUUUCUUUUAGUUGUAUUUGUGACUUAGUUGUUUAGAAGGUAGGUAUGUAGAUGUGGUAUUCUAGAAAUUUGAUUGCAACUAUUCAAAUCAACUACUCAAACCCAUCAAACUGUUCAUGUUAAAAUUAGAGUGCAGCAGCCUCUGGAGGGCUACAUAUCAGCCAUCUGUAUUCUGAUUGUUACUUAACAAUAAUUUUGCUUAGAUUUACUGAAAAGCAUCUUAUACUAUUUCUAAAUGAAUAAGAAAACUGAGGAAAGUAGCUCAUAAAUCAACUAGUGUAUGCAAAGUGAUUUGUCAUAAGAAAAAGUCUCCAUCUCCUUUGGCAACCUGAAAUAAUAUAAAAUGAAAAAUAAACUAAGUUACCAAAACAAAAAUGUGGAACAUUACAUAUGAAAUGCACAUUUUCUGCCUUUCUUAGUCCCUUUUAUUAUAUACAACUGAACUCAUGUUUAUCAAACCUCAUCAUGUUUUCAACUCCUUGGGUUUUCAUUAAAUAGGAAAUUUGUAUUCUAAGGUCAUAUGCAGCACCAAAUCGUAUGUGUCUCCCCUAGAAUACUAUCCAACUAUAUUGUCUAAAACCUGCUAGAAAAUAGGUUUGAAAUCUUGUGUAUGUAUUUGCUUUGUGUUAUCAUGCUGCUGCUCUGAUGGCUUUGUCACCACAAAACAUUUUAAACACAGUCAUAAUAACCAAAGGAUAUCCACCCCAACUUAGUUUAUGAACAGUGUUUUGUUAUGGCUUGCCAACUCUACUCAUUUUAGGCUGGUUCUUAAAUGGUGGCAUCAUUGAGAUUGGGAAUAUUGCAGUGUUUUUACAUUAUUUUGUUAAAAUUGCACUGAAAAAUACAAAUUUUGAAUAGGAGUCUAACAAACCUAUAAUUCUAUGAGUUGUUUGGAAUGUAGUAUGGGCACUUCCACAUGACAAUAUUUUUACUUCUGAUGACCUAUAACAAUGGGCCAGUAACACAGUGAGCCAUUCAAUAGGCAAACAGGAGAAUAUGGGAUUUAGGUAGGGUCCCAGCCCCGACCUACAACAACUCUGAAGGAACAAAAGUUACUUUAUCCUCAGUCCACACAAAAAGGGGGGAAAAUGAAUUGUUAUGUCCUCUACCUUGCCCAAGGCCUGAUAUUUUCAGUAUCUGAUAUGUGCAUUCAUACGGUCCUUUACAAAAUGUUCAGAGCUGUUGAGCUAUGAAGAUAAAGGCAUAUCUCUUCCUAGAUAGAAAUUCCCAUUGAAAACUGUGACAUGCAGCAAGCUGAUUUAUUCAAUAAUGGCAAUGAUGAUUGUAGGUUGCAACAUACUUUGAAAAUAUAACGGUAACCUGACAAAUAUGUGGGGAAGGAGGGGCAGAAGUUGGUAAGUGUGGUUAUUUAAAUAGGUUUUUUUCAAUCAAAAAGAAAGAGUGAAACUGACUAGAUAGAUUACGAUUGCCUAUAGAGACAACAUGUUUUGCAUUUUAAGUGUUUCAAAUAUAAAAUAUUCUGUUUUAAGUUUGAAACAUUUUUUCAACCUUAAGACACUUCCCAAAUGAUGCAAACAAUUCAUUUUGAAUGCAGAACAGCUCUUUUUACUUGAAAA
Crotalus tigris (Tiger rattlesnake) is the source of this 1849-nucleotide long non-coding RNA. RefSeq lists it as uncharacterized. NCBI's taxonomy places the organism in Eukaryota, Metazoa, Chordata, Lepidosauria, Squamata, Viperidae. The transcript has 2 exons. The record is from RefSeq and is a predicted model, not a curated record.